RNAcentral lists this long non-coding RNA (207 nucleotides) under Citrus sinensis (sweet orange). RNAcentral's name for it is "long non-coding RNA (CSIN_LNC002601)". Lineage: Eukaryota; Viridiplantae; Streptophyta; Magnoliopsida; Sapindales; Rutaceae. The record is from RNAcentral.
CUCUCUCUCUCUCUCUUUCUCUCUCUAUUGUUUCUUUACAAAUCCAACCCACCCACCUCCUUUCUUCUUCCUCUCUUUCUCUAUAUAUUCAUUUCAUUCACAUAACCCAUAAGUAGAUUCUUCUGUGAUUGUAAGAAGAAAGUGACUAACUCAAACAUAUAAAGUAUACACAAACAUAAACCCCAAAAAAAAAAAAAAAAAAAAAAA